This 76-nucleotide transfer RNA is filed under the name Dipodomys ordii (Ord's kangaroo rat). It matches the Rfam family "tRNA". From Rfam's summary of the family: Transfer RNA (tRNA) molecules are approximately 80 nucleotides in length. Their secondary structure includes four short double-helical elements and three loops (D, anti-codon, and T loops). Lineage: Eukaryota; Metazoa; Chordata; Mammalia; Rodentia; Heteromyidae. The record is from Rfam by way of RNAcentral.
GGCGCUGUGGCUCAAGUGGUAGAGCGCUAGCCUUGAGCUGAAGAGCUGAGGCCCUGGGUUCGAUUCCUCAGCACCA